RNAcentral lists this transfer RNA (64 nucleotides) under Ptyas dhumnades. RNAcentral's name for it is "tRNA-Glu". Lineage: Eukaryota; Metazoa; Chordata; Lepidosauria; Squamata; Colubridae. The record is from RNAcentral.
AUGUUUUUGUGGUUGAUUUACAACGGUGGUUUUUCAGACUGCAGGUCUCGAUAGAGCAAGAACU